This 1946-nucleotide ribosomal RNA is filed under the name Vibrio vulnificus. Its description in RNAcentral is "partial 23S ribosomal RNA". It matches the Rfam family "Bacterial large subunit ribosomal RNA", at positions 1 to 1988 of the family's 2925-position model. The record is from RNAcentral. Lineage: Bacteria; Pseudomonadati; Pseudomonadota; Gammaproteobacteria; Vibrionales; Vibrionaceae.
GGUUAAGUGACUAAGCGUACACGGUGGAUGCCUUGGCAGUCAGAGGCGAUGAAGGACGUAGUAACUUGCGAUAAGCGUAGAUGAGGCAGUAACAGCCACUUGAGUCUACGAUUUCCGAAUGGGGAAACCCACUGGCAUAAGCCAGUAUCAUUGAGUGAAUACAUAGCUCAAUGAAGCGAACCGGGAGAACUGAAACAUCUAAGUACCCCGAGGAAAAGAAAUCAACCGAGAUUCCGAAAGUAGCGGCGAGCGAAAUUGGAUUAGCCCUUAAGCUUUACAUGUGUUAGACGAACGGUCUGGAAAGUCCGACGAUACAGGGUGAUAGUCCCGUAGUUGUAGAUGCAUGUUCAGUGAAAUCGAGUAGGGCGGGACACGUGUUAUCCUGUCUGAAUAUGGGGGGACCAUCCUCCAAGGCUAAAUACUCCUGACUGACCGAUAGUGAACCAGUACCGUGAGGGAAAGGCGAAAAGAACCCCUGUGAGGGGAGUGAAAUAGAACCUGAAACCGUGUACGUACAAGCAGUAGGAGCACCUUCGUGGUGUGACUGCGUACCUUUUGUAUAAUGGGUCAGCGACUUAUAUUCAGUGGCAAGGUUAACCAUCUAGGGGAGCCGUAGGGAAACCGAGUCUUAACUGGGCGCCAUAGUCUCUGGAUAUAGACCCGAAACCGAGUGAUCUAGCCAUGGGCAGGUUGAAGGUUGAGUAACAUCAACUGGAGGACCGAACCGACUAAUGUUGAAAAAUUAGCGGAUGACUUGUGGCUAGGGGUGAAAGGCCAAUCAAACUCGGAGAUAGCUGGUUCUCCCCGAAAGCUAUUUAGGUAGCGCCUCGGACGAAUACUACUGGGGGUAGAGCACUGUUAAGGCUAGGGGGUCAUCCCGACUUACCAACCCUUUGCAAACUCCGAAUACCAGUAAGUACUAUCCGGGAGACACACGGCGGGUGCUAACGUCCGUCGUGGAGAGGGAAACAACCCAGACCGCCAGCUAAGGUCCCAAAUUACAGCUAAGUGGGAAACGAUGUGGGAAGGCUUAGACAGCUAGGAUGUUGGCUUAGAAGCAGCCAUCAUUUAAAGAAAGCGUAAUAGCUCACUAGUCGAGUCGGCCUGCGCGGAAGAUGUAACGGGGCUAAGUUGUAAACCGAAGCUGCGGCAAUAUCUUUUAGAUAUUGGGUAGGGGAGCGUUCUGUAAGCCGUUGAAGGUGUGUUGUAAAGCAUGCUGGAGGUAUCAGAAGUGCGAAUGCUGACAUGAGUAACGACAAGGGGGGUGAAAAACCUCCCCGCCGGAAGACCAAGGGUUCCUGUCCAACGUUAAUCGGGGCAGGGUAAGUCGACCCCUAAGGCGAGGCCGAAAGGCGUAGUCGAUGGGAAACGGGUUAAUAUUCCCGUACUUCUUACAAUUGCGAUGGGGGGACGGAGAAGGCUAGGUGGGCCUGGCGACGGUUGUCCAGGUUCAAGUGCGUAGGCUGAGUGUUUAGGUAAAUCCGGACACUCUUAAGGCUGAGACACGACGUCGAGCUACUACGGUAGUGAAGUCAUUGAUGCCAUGCUUCCAGGAAAAGCCUCUAAGCUUCAGAUUGUAAGGAAUCGUACCCCAAACCGACACAGGUGGUCGGGUAGAGAAUACCAAGGCGCUUGAGAGAACUCGGGUGAAGGAACUAGGCAAAAUGGUACCGUAACUUCGGGAGAAGGUACGCUCUUGAUGGUGAAGUCCCUUGCGGAUGGAGCUGACGAGAGUCGCAGAUACCAGGUGGCUGCAACUGUUUAUUAAAAACACAGCACUGUGCAAAAUCGUAAGAUGACGUAUACGGUGUGACGCCUGCCCGGUGCCGGAAGGUUAAUUGAUGGGGUUAGCGUAAGCGAAGCUCUUGAUCGAAGCCCCGGUAAACGGCGGCCGUAACUAUAACGGUCCUAAGGUAGCGAAAUUCCUUGUCGGGUAAGUUCCGACC